UAGGGAAUCUUCCACAAUGGACGCAAGUCUGAUGGAGCAACGCCGCGUGAGUGAAGAAGGUUUUCGGGUUGUAAAGCACUUUCAGCGAGGAGGAAGGGUAGUGUGUUAAUAGCACAUUGCAUUGACGUUACUCGCAGAAGAGGCACCGGCUAACUCCGUGCCAGCAGCCGCGGUAAUACGGAGGGUGCAAGCGUUAAUCGGAAUUACUGGGCGUAAAGCGCACGCAGGCGGUUUGUUAAGUCAGAUGUGAAAUCCCCGCGCUUAACGUGGGAACUGCAUUUGAAACUGGCAAGCUAGAGUCUUGUAGAGGGGGGUAGAAUUCCAGGUGUAGCGGUGAAAUGCGUAGAGAUCUGGAGGAAUACCGGUGGCGAAGGCGGCCCCCUGGACAAAGACUGACGCUCAGGUGCGAAAGCGUGGG
RNAcentral lists this ribosomal RNA (418 nucleotides) under uncultured bacterium. RNAcentral describes it as "partial 16S ribosomal RNA". It matches the Rfam family "Bacterial small subunit ribosomal RNA", at positions 355 to 765 of the family's 1533-position model. The record is from RNAcentral.